Long non-coding RNA from Helianthus annuus (common sunflower), 2977 nucleotides. RefSeq lists it as uncharacterized. The record is from RefSeq and is a predicted model, not a curated record. NCBI's taxonomy places the organism in Eukaryota, Viridiplantae, Streptophyta, Magnoliopsida, Asterales, Asteraceae. The transcript is spliced from 5 exons.
GUGGUUUUGAUCCUCAUUAUUCUCACCAUGAACUCCACUUUUACGGUGGUUAUAUCCUAUAUCUUUAGGAUUCAGUUCGCAUCGGUUUCCAGCCAUGAUGCCCUCCCCACUUUCUCCACCUCCCACAAUUUCAGCACCAAUAACCACAGUUUACCCCUCAAUUCUAGCAGCUUUCUGCUUUUAAAGUAUUUAAACCCUCUUUCCACCCACAUGCAAUGAUGUCAAAACCUUUCAAAGUCAAUCGUCGCCUGAGUAGGUUCGAAUGGCGGAUAGAGUAAUUUCGAUGUGAUACUCGAGCGGCGAUGAAGAAUAUGUAGAGUCUCAGGUGGUGCCGUGGUCGUCAGUUGCAGUGUCCCUGAUACAGAACCGAGCUACAACCAUCGGAGAUUUCUGACCCGCUGAGGCACACUUCCCUUAACCAUUGUUCCGGUUGUUCAAGUUUUUCUUCUCCAACCGUCUACUCGACAAUCCAGGGAUGGAGACUUCUCUUCUCUGGCGCCAAAGAUAAUGUUAUGACAAUGAACAAUGGCGGACGAUUGGGCACAUACCCCUGGUCACAACUGUGCUGUUUGGUGCUGCCAUGCUUCAAGUAUGUUGUUUCCUUUUCUCCUUCUUUGAUGGUUGUUAAUUUCGUUGAGUAAAAAAUGUCAACCAUCUGAUGAAUUGUGUCAAUUGUAACAAAAAUACAAUUUGGUCACAACAGUUAUGUUUCAAAGUUGCAGAUCAGUAGUUGUUAAAUUCGUUGUUCGGGCUCAGUUUUUUAAUGUUAUUCAUCAGUCCUUUCACAUCAUAACUUUGCAUAUGUUGUUUCAGUUUAUAUGUCAGUAGAUCACAGAGCAGCAGUGUUUUUAUCAGUUUUCUUUAUCAUCUAUUGUAUAUCAGUGUAUCACACCAGGAAUUAUUACGUUUGUGAAAUACAAGUAUGUGAUACUCUGUUUAAAUACAAGUAUGAAUAUGAUGGUCUCAAUCAGAGAGUUGAUUUUGCUCUAUCAUGCAGGCUAGAUUUUUCUUCCAACAGCUUGUAUAUCGGGUCAGCUACUGUCAUUCAAAGAAACAUUCGCAUCGAAACGGUACGAGUGGACCAACAAAACGUAUGAUUCAGUAUGCGAUUACGAAGACUUUGGUUACAGGUCAGUUGCUUAAUGUUGCCCCCACAAACAUAACCUUUCUAUGUAUGCAUGUUUAAUUUGGAGUAAUUUUAAUACACUUGCACCUACGUAACACGUAUACUGUUGACACAAUUACUAUGAAUAACCUGCUUGAAACUCGGUUGCGAAGCGCAGGUAGUGAUGCUUUAUUUCAGUAUGAUUUCGGGUCGAAACGGUACUGGUCGAAACGAGCUUCAUUGGUGCCAGGAACGAGCUUCAUUGGUGCUGAUAAUCUUCGAAUUUAUAGUUUACUGGAAAAACAAAUUAUAUAUUUUUUUAUGAUUUCAUAGGUGGUUGUUAUGAACGCUUAAUUGAUGUAGAUAAAAGGGAGCAAACGCGACAAACAUUGUAAGCCCAUGUUUUCAUUUUCUUAAUAAUUUGACAUCGAUCCCUGAAUUUAUUUAUUGUUGUAUUUUUUGUGAUUCGACACAUAGUUAAUUUCUUGCCAAUGCACUUCAUGGUGAAGAAAGGUAUUUUCAUGACCCCUCAUGGCUCAUGCUCUGCAACUAUAAGAAUAUACAUAUGCUACCCUUACAAAUCUUGUAACACUAACCUUUUAUAUUCCAUCUUUAGAACAUGGUCAGACCAGUCAACAUGUACUAUAGAUGAACCUUCUAGAACUUCAAUGUCUUCACUAGAUUAAAAAAUCAUGAUUCAUGAACAACUUUACUUGUAUUUUAUAUUUACCAACUUGAGAUUGAAAUAUAAAUUUGUUUUUGUUGCGGGUCAUGGAGCUUGUGACGAAGGAAAAGUUGGUAAUGAAAUUUUGCUUUGAGAGACAUAGCGUAGGGGUUUGGACAUCAACAAGAAGGUGCUCUAUUACGACUAAAUUAUUUUUUGACUUUUUCUCACUUGUAUGUAUAGAUGAUCAAUUUACUUGUAAAGGGGUGGAUUUGGGUUAUGUUUCAUCUCGAACGGGUCAAAUGGCGAUUUAAAAGAGUUAGGUCAAAAGGAGUCUUGGUUGUAAGUUUCCAAAGUGUACUGAAAUAAUAUAAGUAAUCGGGUUUGGCUCAUUUAAUUACUUGAAAAGGUUUAAAUUUUUCGCCGAAAAAUGACCAGCCCUGUUUCUGUUUUGACCCAUAGCAGAAAAAAUAAUGUUUUGAUGUGUUAUCUAGCCUCCCAAUUUGUUACUUGUGUUGACCAUGAUUCACUAUUUUUAUCAUUGGCUCUGUUUUAUUUUGUAUCGUCAUGCAACUUUUUUGGUGUUGUCAUAUAAUCAUAUAUAUAAACUCUCUCCAGGGAGAAAAUAAACCGAGUUCUUGACUUCCUCAUGACGGGCACUCAACAUCAAUUGCUUAUUUGUUGGCCAAGCACAUGCACUAAUUGUUAUUAUGUUUACAGUGUUACAUAAAUCUUGUCAUCCGAAUUUUAUUUUAUGUUUACUAUUAUGUUCAUUGUGUAUACAUUAAUAUGAUGAAAAUUGGCUUUUGUGCAGGAUCAAUUUCACUGUCACCGCAUGGAGUUCUUUUGAAUUUGACUUUUUGACUUCAAAGUCAACAUUGAUGUGUGUGUUUAAUUGGGAUAACCAAUUCAAGUGGGUAGUUGAUUGGUUUAUAUAGUCUUCAUUAAUCACUCUAUUGGUGAAGCUUAGGAUAUCUCUUAUACAGUUGUCAAUGUGCAAAGAAAAGACUUAAAGGAGCUUGAGAAGCAAGUUAUGGCUUUCUUUUUUUCAUUUUACAUUGGUGUCUAGAAUGUAAAAAAAGAUAACUGAAAAAGAAGGAUAUAUCGACUUAAAAAGACACUUUAGCAAUGAUUUUCUAUAAUUGUUUUGGUAUGUUCAACAUACCUACUUGUGUAUAUGUAAAUCAAAUAUAUUAUUUUACUUUAAA